CAGCAGCCGCGGGAAUACGGAGGGGGCUAGCGUUGUUCGGAAUUACUGGGCGUAAAGCGCACGUAGGCGGCUUUGUAAGUUAGAGGUGAAAGCCUGGAGCUCAACUCCAGAAUUGCCUUUAAGACUGCAUCGCUUGAAUCGCGGAGAGGUGAGUGGAAUUCCGAGUGUAGAGGUGAAAUUCGUAGAUAUUCAGAAGAACACUAGUGGCGAAGGCGGCUUACUGGCUCAUUCUAGACGCUGAGGUGCGAAAGCGUGGGGAGCAAACAGGAUUAGAUACCCCAGUAGUCCCUGUCUCUUAUAC
This 301-nucleotide ribosomal RNA is filed under the name uncultured bacterium. RNAcentral's name for it is "partial 16S ribosomal RNA". It matches the Rfam family "Bacterial small subunit ribosomal RNA", at positions 509 to 807 of the family's 1533-position model. The record is from RNAcentral.